GCCAUUACUGUUAAUCACGGCCAUCGACUGCUGCUGCUUUGGGUUUAGAAGACGGCACACUUCUGCUGGAUGGUAAAGAUGUAAACCAACAACAUUGUCAGAAUGAAGUUCAAAGAAAUAUAUUUUUUUCUUCAAAACCUUUUACAUUUCAAAUGUUUUGGGAACGUGAAAAAGCCCUUCCUGUAGUUUAAAGGAAGAAUCUGCGAAGAGAAUCAUCUCCCUAUUCCUAUGCUUGGUUGACCCCAGGAGCAAGUUU
Labeo rohita (rohu) is the source of this 256-nucleotide long non-coding RNA. RefSeq lists it as uncharacterized. The transcript has 3 exons. The record is from RefSeq and is a predicted model, not a curated record. NCBI's taxonomy places the organism in Eukaryota, Metazoa, Chordata, Actinopteri, Cypriniformes, Cyprinidae.